GCGAAUUGCCACGAUAUCGUUAUAAUGCCCGACCUUGAACCUGUCGCUGCAGCAAAAUCUGCGCGUAACAGGUGACAAAUCGGUGACAUCGGGUUAUUUUCU
Molecule: non-coding RNA, 102 nt
Filed under: Serratia fonticola
Lineage: Bacteria; Pseudomonadati; Pseudomonadota; Gammaproteobacteria; Enterobacterales; Yersiniaceae
Description: Yersinia sRNA 190
Rfam family: Yersinia sRNA 190
Source: Rfam by way of RNAcentral